AGGAAUGUAUAGCGCAAGCUAAUUGCACUAGCCUUUGGCUGGUGCAAGAUCGACCGAGUUGAAUAAAGUUCUAGGUAGAGUUAUGAUAAUGACAUUUUCUAUCUAUGUGUCUUGACCAAGUCACGUGCCAGCAGUCGCGGUAAUACGUGGAAGACUAGUGUUAUUCAUCUUUAAUUGGUUUAAAGGGUACCUAGACGGUUAAUCAAACCCCCCCCCUACGGGGGGGGGUAUUAAUUUACUAGAGUUUUAUAUGAGGAGGGGAGUACUAAAGAGUGUAGAGAUGAAAUUCUGUCAUACCUGCCUUGGAACAGGCAACGGCGAAGGCAACCUUUUAUGUAAAAACUGACGUUGAAGGACGAAGGCUUAGGACACCAACAGGAUUAGAUACCCCAGCAGUCUAAGCAGACAAUGAUGAAUGUCAUAGAUUAGAAUUAUAAUUUUGUCUAUAAAUGAAAGUGUAAGCAUUCCACCUCAAGAGUAAUGUGGCAACGCAGGAACUGAAAUCAUUAGACCGUUUCUGAAACCAGUAGUGAAGUAUGUUGUUUAAUUUGAUGAUACCCACAACACCUUACCACAAUUUGAAUAUUAUUUAUUUCAAUAUUUUUUUUGAAUAUAUAUUACAAGCGUUGCACGGCUGUUUUCAGUUAAUGUCGUGAGAUUUUGGUUAGUUCCAUUAAAUUAACGUAAACCCUUACUUUUUUUUUAUUAUUAUAAAGUAGUUCACCGCUAUAUUGGAUAUGAUAAAAGGGAAUAAUACAAGUCAAUAUGGCCUUGAUAUUGUGGGCUAUAGACGUGCCACAUACGCCUUUACAAAGGGAUGCGAAAUUG
Molecule: ribosomal RNA, 828 nt
Filed under: Trapelia chiodectonoides
Lineage: Eukaryota; Fungi; Ascomycota; Lecanoromycetes; Trapeliales; Trapeliaceae
Description: partial small subunit ribosomal RNA
Rfam family: Bacterial small subunit ribosomal RNA
Source: RNAcentral